Long non-coding RNA from Melanaphis sacchari, 1697 nucleotides. RefSeq lists it as uncharacterized. The record is from RefSeq and is a predicted model, not a curated record. NCBI's taxonomy places the organism in Eukaryota, Metazoa, Arthropoda, Insecta, Hemiptera, Aphididae. The transcript is spliced from 3 exons.
ACAAGAUUUAAUUUUCUGUUAGAUAAUGCAAAUUUUUAUUAUAUGAUUGUUGUUAAUGUUCAACGUUUAGACGAAAACUGGAACAGUGCAAUGUGCAUUCAUACAAUACAAUCAAUACAUUAUUAAUCGUGAAUUCAUAAGCUACAUAAUAUUGUCUAUUUGUAAUGGAAAAAAAAUUUCAACUCAAUGAAUCGAAAUAAUUUUCAAAUGAUUGAUAAAAUACUGAAAUAAAUUUUACAGGAAACUGGGGGUGCCGAUUUGAAGCCUGGGGGUGCUAAGCACUCCCAAGCACCCCUCUAUGUGCGCCUAUGAACAGCGUAUACACUAGAGCAUUAUAGUUACAUAAUUACGGCGUUACAUUAAAUCUAAAUGCUCCGGUGUGUACCUGCCUUUAGUUAUUACGAAUAUAAAAAAAAUAAUAAUUAUAGUUUAUGAAUAAAUCUCUUUACAAGCUAUUCGCCUGUAUUAUCUGUAUGUAUUUUUCUAACACCACACCAGCAAAUAAUCUAUAUACUUAUUUAUGCAUCAAAUAUAUUAUAUUUUUAUGUUAUUUUAUAUACUACUUUUCAUGUAGAACCAGUUGACAGGUCACGAGUUUUUGAAGAAAGAAGCCACCCAUUGAUGACACUUAGCUUGUUAUUUAAUUUAAUUUAAAGAUCGCGACACCACUUCCGCUUAGGGAGUUUUUACGUCUCGGAGGAUUUUCAGAGCUGAAGGCCGCAGGUCCAUUUUUAGCGAUAUGAAAAUAAACGAUAUAGCACAUGUUCAGUGCGACACGGCAGUUCAAGUCUAUCGGAAACGCGUGUUCGCAGGGCAUCGCAGACGUAUAAUGACGAUAUCGGAUCUUCUUCCGUCCGGACAGAAGUCGACGACGGCUACCACACGUAAGCUUCAACGCCCGUUUAGACGCCGUCUUGCAGAUAACGGCCGCUUCUGUGUGUUACUGUUCCGACUCCCGUUGCCGCUGAUCUUCGUCGUACUCGGUACUGGUCAGAGCGAUUGGAAACCUGUUCGGCGGACAGUCGUCAGUGCUCGAACGCCACCGCCGGGCUGUGCGGGGCGACAGUAAAAUGCGAUGGAUAGCGAAUGGUGUCAGCGGCGCGUCGGACGACAGGUGCUGGUGGCCGGUCACUCGAACGCAUAUCUGCGCGAAUAUACCUUUUGCAGAGCAGAACUAGCCGCUAAUAGCACGGGACGUUUCAUGACCACGGCCCAGUCUCGGCGGUUACCGCACGCAGUAAGCUAAUUUAUUUGGCGUCCUAGUCGUCACUGACCGCGGUCAGCUCGCGUCCUAUGGCGAUCGCUUGUCGGCGGCUGUCUCAUCACCUCCUGUAUGCCGUCGGUCGUUCCUAAUUUCGAUUACAGGCUCUAUACAGACCCGUGACCGUCAUUCCGUUACUGUUUUAGUGUUGUUACAGCUACCGUCGGAGGACAACAAGCCAAAGCAAAUUAUGUGUGUACGUGUGCGAAGGAUAACGAUAUUCGUCGACACCAACCGUGCAACAAUAAUUAUUAUGUUUGUUAUUGAAUAAUCAAUGUAAUCACACUAAAAAUAAACAAACCGUAUGAUAAAAACUAAUCACUAUAACGAGUUUGCGGAAGUCGACGAUGAGAUGUCGAUAAUUGAGUUUUUACGAUUAUCUGCUUAAAAAUAAAAUAAAUAUUAUUAACAGCGAAAAUUUAAUAACAUACAAAAA